UCUAACCUAUCUGAUUCAACGAGGACUUCUUUGUACCUGUUUCACUUGACAAAAGAGAGCUUCCAAGAGGGCUAGGGCUUCGGCCAUUGUCGGAGAAGACGCUCGGACGGACUGUGCGAGGCCGUCGACAAUACAUCUUGUAUGGUCCCAGCAGAUGCAAGCAAUUGCUCUUUCGGUCGACCUUUCAUCGAGAGACACGUUGACAUUUAUCUUCAAAAUACCUUCCGCCAGGGCUACCCAGAUCUGGGGAGAGAUUUGCCACAUGACAGUUGCCAUAGCUGCCAGAGGAGGUUUGUUAGGCGUGUUACCUGUGAAAUUCAUUAACCACACCUCAAAUCGAGUCACUCUCUAUGUUAAAGAUUGGAUUUUUAGAGAUGGGUGUGACCAAACACGUUCUGUCCAGGGGCAUAGUAGAAAAAUAUGUUCAACUGUUUCCACUUCGCUUUGACACAAGCUACAGAUAGGAUCAGGUACUAUGUUUUUCUUCCACAAGUUUUCCUUAGAUGGGAUUGCAUUUUGGCAAAUACUCCAUAGAAAAAUUUUCGCUUUUGUUCUUGUCUGCAUAUUCCAAAUGGCAUUCCAUAGAGCUUUUGGAGUAUGGAAAGAGGAAGAUGGCUGUUGUUGUUGUGACUUGUCUGCCAUUUCUUGCCGAAGUGUUUUAUAGUCAUUUUUAA
This is a long non-coding RNA of Syzygium oleosum, 674 nucleotides long. RefSeq lists it as uncharacterized. Lineage: Eukaryota; Viridiplantae; Streptophyta; Magnoliopsida; Myrtales; Myrtaceae. The transcript is spliced from 2 exons. The record is from RefSeq and is a predicted model, not a curated record.